UCCGUAGGCGGAUCGAUAAGUCAGAGGUGAAAUCCCACAGCUUAACUGUGGAACUGCCUUUGAUACUGUUGGUCUUGAGUUAUAUGGAAGUAGAUAGAAUGUGUAGUGUAGCGGUGAAAUGCAUAGAGAUUACACAGAAUACCGAUUGCGAAGGCAGUCUACUACGUAUAUACUGACGCUAAUGGACGAAAGCGUGGGGAGCGAACAGGAUUAGAUACCCUGGUAGUC
Molecule: ribosomal RNA, 228 nt
Filed under: uncultured bacterium
Lineage: Bacteria
Description: partial 16S ribosomal RNA
Rfam family: Bacterial small subunit ribosomal RNA
Source: RNAcentral